This 526-nucleotide ribosomal RNA is filed under the name uncultured Bacteroidota bacterium. RNAcentral's name for it is "bacterial SSU rRNA". It matches the Rfam family "Bacterial small subunit ribosomal RNA", at positions 8 to 543 of the family's 1533-position model. The record is from RNAcentral. Lineage: Bacteria; Pseudomonadati; Bacteroidota.
AGAGUUUGAUCCUGGCUCAGGAUGAACGCUAGCGGCAGGCCUAAUACAUGCAAGUCGAACGGUGUCUUCGGACAUAGUGGCGCACGGGUGCGUAACACGUAUGCAACCUACCUUACAUUGGGGGAUAGCCUUUCGAAAGGGAGAUUAAUACCGCAUAAGACAGUAGCUGGGCAUCCAGCAGCUGUUAAAGAUUUAUCGAUGUAAGAUGGGCAUGCGUCCAAUUAGUUAGUUGGCGAGGUAACGGCUCACCAAGACUUUGAUUGGUAGGGGAACUGAGAGGUCAAUCCCCCACACUGGCACUGAGAUACGGGCCAGACUCCUACGGGAGGCAGCAGUAGGGAAUAUUGGGCAAUGGACGCAAGUCUGACCCAGCCAUGCCGCGUGCAGGAUGAAGGCGUUAUGCGUUGUAAACUGCUUUUAUACAGGAAGAAACGACUCUUGCGAGAGGCAUUGACGGUACUGUAUGAAUAAGCACCGGCUAACUCCGUGCCAGCAGCCGCGGUAAUACGGGAGGGUGCAAGCGUUG